RNAcentral lists this ribosomal RNA (490 nucleotides) under uncultured bacterium. Its description in RNAcentral is "partial 16S ribosomal RNA". It matches the Rfam family "Bacterial small subunit ribosomal RNA", at positions 30 to 507 of the family's 1533-position model. The record is from RNAcentral.
AUUGAACGCUGGCGGCAGGCCUAACACAUGCAAGUCGAACGGAAACAGGAAGAAGCUUGCUUCUUUGCUGACGAGUGGCGGACGGGUGAGUAAUGUCUGGGAAACUGCCUGAUGGAGGGGGAUAACUACUGGAAACGGUAGCUAAUACCGCAUAACGUCGCAAGACCAAAGAGGGGGACCUUCGGGCCUCUUGCCAUCGGAUGUGCCCAGAUGGGAUUAGCUAGUAGGUGGGGUAACGGCUCACCUAGGCGACGAUCCCUAGCUGGUCUGAGAGGAUGACCAGCCACACUGGAACUGAGCCACGGUCCAGACUCCUACGGGAGGCAGCAGUGGGGAAUAUUGCACAAUGGGCGCAAGCCUGAUGCAGCCAUGCCGCGUGUAUGAAGAAGGCCUUCGGGUUGUAAAGUACUUUCAGCGGGGAGGAAGGGAGUAAAGUUAAUACCUUUGCUCAUUGACGUUACCCGCAGAAGAAGCACCGGCUAACUCCGUG